CUGCCAAACCCUUUCAUAAAUUAUGAUGUUUUUUCCUACCGUAAUUUCAACACAAUAAUGUUAAAGAAAUCAAAUGACAACUUCGACAUCCAUGAAACGGAUUUAGCUUCAACUUUUCUGGAAUUUUUUGAGGUGCGCAUUCGCAACAUUUUCUUAUGCUAUUUUGUAUGCCCAAACCAUUCAGCCAUAUCUUCAUCAUCAGUUGUUUCAAGGAACUUAAAUCUUCUUUGGGUAUCAGCACGCCUAGAUUCUUCAUCACUUUCUCCAGUUCUACCAGUAGUUCUACUUUUCUGUAACAUCUCUAGCUUCCAUCUCUCUCCAUUUUGUGAAUUUCGAGACAAACUACUAUGACCUCCCACAAUUGGGAAAUCUACAAAACUGGAGUCUUUAUUCCAUAAGUGAUUGUCUUCUCUUUCUUCCUCCACAAAUCUCCACCUAUCUACGCCUCUUCUUUGUUUCAUUCUAUCCAGUUGCAUGGAUUUAUCAUCAUCGCCCUUGUGAUCGCCAUGAACAAAUCUCAAUCUCCUAUGGUUGGGUAAGCCUCCACUGUCAUGUUCAAGUGGAGUGGAUGUGUUGCUUGGAGCAUUUAAUGCCUUUGGCCGUCUAUGGUCACAUUUCAGGCACACCAUGUUUCUUCUGAAAUUGAUGUAGUUGCACGACUCACACUCCCACUCCCCAGGAUUAAGAUGCCGCUUUGGAGGUUUCUCUUUACACUGUAGACAUCUUGUAUUCUUUGCAAAGUUCAAGAAAUUGCAUCUAUGAAGAUAAGAAAUGUUGUUAAGAAAUAAAGCAUCAGGUAUUAUAUUGUUGAAAAAGAUCAGAAAAUUAUUACUUUUCACAGAUCCAGUCUCCUUUUUUCAGUGGAAGAUGAUGCUGAUCCUCCUGGAGUUGUUUUAGUCUAUCUUCAAACAAACUAUCACACUGCAAGCACCUAAUAUUUCUGGCAAAAUUGAGGAAGUUGCACCUAACAGCCAGAAAGAAAAAGGUUAACCCUCUCUAGACAAAUAAAAUGAAACAGAUAGCAACAUAUUUUACAAUGCCACAAAAUAGCAGUCAAAUUACUUGGGGCAACACCAAUCGCCUUGCUUCGUUGGAGAGUGAAUUUGCAAAGGUUCACUGCUUUUCAAGGGAGUGCCAUCUGGGGGAUCAGAGUCCAGUUGCUGUCUGCCAUAGUCCACCAUUUCUUUCAGCAGCACUCUCACUGAAUCUUUAACCAUUUUGUUGUCAAAUGGCCUGUUCUCCAAAUUACCAGAAAGGGAAUUAAACCCAUACGUCAAUAGAAUUCGCAUGACAUCUACUGUCCGCCCACCUUCAUAUUCACGUGCCUUGACAUAUGCCCUUUCACAGUCUCCCCUGAACUUGCAGGAGCUGCAAACCUAAGAAGACCUUUACUCAACUUAGAUAUAAAGAACAAUUACUAGUAUAAUGCUUACUAAUAUGCAAAACGUCUUUAACCUUCCAGGCAAGACGAAUUUAUAUAUAAAAUGUUGAAAAAGAAAAUUUUCUUUUAACGUUGAGCACAUACAUUUCCUUCAUCAAUGCCUACAUGUGCUCUUAGACGCUUCCCUGAAUUGACAACUUUCCUAUCUAUACUUGGGCAGCCGCAUCGUGCAAUGGCAUGGAUAUCUUUCCUGGAGAAGAACCUGGCAGCAAAGGCAGAUGGCAAGUACAUAAAGUUUAGGGGAAAAAAACUAAAUUUAGUAACUUGAAGUAAAAAUAUCUGAUACUGCAAACUGCUGAUACAAUCUCCAACUCUCCAUUACAAAAUUGAAAGGUAAAAUUGUCUAAAAGCAGUCAUAGGAUCAAGAGACUAUAAAAACAGUAUAAACUUAAAAAUUUCUGCAGUAAGUAGAUACACUAAAGACUCAAUCCUUUGGACUCUGCAUUUGGUAGCCCAAGACUCUCACAAUAUGACCGCACAAGGUAACAAUCUCUUGUACCUUAUUAUGGUUGACCAAAUAGCCCCAUUAAGAACCUAAUUAAGGCCAAAAUAAUGACUGUAACCAAGAAACAAUAAACCUAUAAAAAACACUCACUCCCCGCAUACAAGCUGGACUAACAACAAAAUAACAAACAACAUCGAAGUCAACAUAACUAAAAAAAAAAAAGAACCUUGCCAACAAUGUAUCCCCCACAAAUAGCUCUAAAUGCAUCAAUGAACUGAAACAAAAUAUUAAGAGCCCACCGAUUCCAAGUUGUAUAAGAUGCAUAAGCACUUUCUUAAAUCUCAUAGCCCCCUGAAUACCCGAAGAUUGUUGAGCUUUGCUUUGUGUUGGUUUUUAUCGCGUUGACAAAAUGCAUUUUCUUUCCCCAUAAGUUGGCCCCUCCACUCCAAGCCUCCCAAGAGAUUAAUCCUAGAUCUGUCCAUGGCUUAGAAAAUUCCAAUGCAACUGAAAUCUCCCAAAAGCCCCUGAUUCCAAGGCAAUGCUUUGUCCAAGAGGCACUUGCAGAGGGACCUGGCAUUCUCAACUCAAGUGAACCAAAACCUUUAAAUGCUCUUCAAGGUUCUGAUAUCUCCCAGUCACGGCAUGGUCAAGGCUGCUAACCAUUGAGCUUGACUACUGGGACCUGAAGG
RNAcentral lists this unclassified non-coding RNA (2575 nucleotides) under Hevea brasiliensis (rubber tree). Lineage: Eukaryota; Viridiplantae; Streptophyta; Magnoliopsida; Malpighiales; Euphorbiaceae. The record is from RNAcentral.